RNAcentral lists this ribosomal RNA (1004 nucleotides) under Chryseobacterium gambrini. RNAcentral describes it as "bacterial SSU rRNA". It matches the Rfam family "Bacterial small subunit ribosomal RNA", at positions 49 to 1061 of the family's 1533-position model. The record is from RNAcentral. Lineage: Bacteria; Pseudomonadati; Bacteroidota; Flavobacteriia; Flavobacteriales; Weeksellaceae.
UAACACAUGCAGCCGAGCGGUAGAGAUUCUUCGGAAUCUUGAGAGCGGCGCACGGGUGCGGAACACGUGUGCAACCUGCCUUUAUCUGGGGGAUAGCCUUUCGAAAGGGAGAUUAAUACCCCAUAAUAUAAUGAGUGGCAUCACUUAUUAUUGAAAACUCCGGUGGAUAGAGAUGGGCACGCGCAAGAUUAGAUAGUUGGUGAGGUAACGGCUCACCAAGUCAAUGAUCUUUAGGGGGCCUGAGAGGGUGAUCCCCCACACUGGUACUGAGACACGGACCAGACUCCUACGGGAGGCAGCAGUGAGGAAUAUUGGACAAUGGGUGAGAGCCUGAUCCAGCCAUCCCGCGUGAAGGACGACGGCCCUAUGGGUUGUAAACUUCUUUUGUACAGGGAUAAACCUUUCCACGUGUGGAAAGCUGAAGGUACUGUACGAAUAAGCACCGGCUAACUCCGUGCCAGCAGCCGCGGUAAUACGGAGGGUGCAAGCGUUAUCCGGAUUUAUUGGGUUUAAAGGGUCCGUAGGCGGAUCUGUAAGUCAGUGGUGAAAUCUCAUAGCUUAACUAUGAAACUGCCAUUGAUACUGCAGGUCUUGAGUAAGGUAGAAGUAGCUGGAAUAAGUAGUGUAGCGGUGAAAUGCAUAGAUAUUACUUAGAACACCAAUUGCGAAGGCAGGUUACUAUGUCUUAACUGACGCUGAUGGACGAAAGCGUGGGGAGCGAACAGGAUUAGAUACCCUGGUAGUCCACGCUGUAAACGAUGCUAACUCGUUUUUGGGUUUUCGGAUUCAGAGACUAAGCGAAAGUGAUAAGUUAGCCACCUGGGGAGUACGAACGCAAGUUUGAAACUCAAAGGAAUUGACGGGGGCCCGCACAAGCGGUGGAUUAUGUGGUUUAAUUCGAUGAUACGCGAGGAACCUUACCAAGACUUAAAUGGGAAUUGACAGAUUUAGAAAUAGAUCCUCCUUCGGGCAAUUUUCAAGGUGCUGCAUGGUGUCGUCAGCUC